Molecule: ribosomal RNA, 396 nt
Filed under: uncultured bacterium
Lineage: Bacteria
Description: bacterial SSU rRNA
Rfam family: Bacterial small subunit ribosomal RNA
Source: RNAcentral
GGAAUAUUGCACAAUGGAGGAAACUCUGAUGCAGUGACGCCGCGUGCAGGAAGAAGGUCUUAGGAUUGUAAAUUGCUUUGGACAGGGAAGAAAAACGACAGUACCUUUAGAAUAAGCUCCGGCUAACUACGUGCCAGCAGCCGCGGUAAUACGUAGGGAGCGAGCGUUAUCCGGAAUUAUUGGGUGUAAAGGGUGCGUAGACGGGUAAAUAAGUUAGUUGUGAAAUCCCUCGGCUCAACUGAGGAACUGCAACUAAAACUGUAUAUCUUGAGUGCGGGAGAGGAAAGUGGAAUUCCUAGUGUAGCGGUGAAAUGCGUAGAUAUUAGGAGGAACACCAGUGGCGAAGGCGACUUUCUGGACCGUAACUGACGUUGAGGCACGAAAGUGUGGGGAGCA